This 380-nucleotide RNase P RNA is filed under the name Planctomycetaceae bacterium. Its description in RNAcentral is "RNase P RNA component class A". It matches the Rfam family "Bacterial RNase P class A". Rfam says of the family: Ribonuclease P (RNase P) is a ubiquitous endoribonuclease, found in archaea, bacteria and eukarya as well as chloroplasts and mitochondria. Its best characterised activity is the generation of mature 5'-ends of tRNAs by cleaving the 5'-leader elements of precursor-tRNAs. Lineage: Bacteria; Pseudomonadati; Planctomycetota; Planctomycetia; Planctomycetales; Planctomycetaceae. The record is from RNAcentral.
GGAGCGAAACGGGUGAUCGCCGCUCAUUUUUUGAGAGGAGGAAAGUCCGGACUCCAAUCGGACACGAUGACGGAUAACGUCCGCCGGUCGCGAGAUCAGGGAAAGUGCAACAGAAAAUAUACCGCCGGAAUUUUUUUUUCCGGUAAGGGUGAAAUGGCGAGGUAAAAGCUCACCACGAUUCGGGUAACCGAAUCGGUAUGGCAAACCCCAUCGGGAGCAAGAUCAAAUAGGAAUUUAGGUUGUCCGAACCGUUUGAGAUUCGGGUAGAUCGCUUGAGGAUUUCAGGUAACUGAAAUUCCAGAUAAAUGAUCGCCAUUUUGAUCCGUUCCAAUUCGAAACAGAUCAAAAAACAGAAUCCGGCUUAUAGUUUCGCUCCCACA